ACCAUUCCUCAACAGUUUUCUCACACUGGCAUUUGGGAUUGGCUGGUAAAGUAUAUUCUGAAUCUCUUUUCAUCUUUUUAUGUGCUUCUACCAUUUUAGAGUCCAACGAAUUGCAACAGAGUUCUUAUUGACAGAACUCAAAUCGAUCUUUGAAUUACGAUGAAGCAAGCUUGGACUUUAAAAGAUACAAUGUACCAAGAGGAGAUAACCUGUUGGGACACAUUGGAUUUAGAUAUGAACAAUUUUUUUCUGAGUACGGGAAGGCCAACACUGCUCGGCGGCUGUUUUGGGCAAAUACUACUCGGCAGUGGCUUCAGGUUGCUGCCAACUUGAAGGUCAGACAUCCAGAUCCCCUCAUUUCUGUGUCAAUCUACGCCGGAGUAAACUUAGAGAACAAGAAAAGCAAAUGAUUGAUAUCAAAGUCUUUGUCUUUUAUGGUAAACUUUCCUGAAAACUAGUUGUAACUUGUGUCAUAUUAUUUCAGGGGAUCAAACUGAACCAAUGUUUGAAUUCAAGUGUGUGUCUGCCACAGAAGCCGCAGUUAGUUGUUGGUCUUAGGGGCUCAACAGCCAAUAUUUUUGUGGACAAUGCAGCUUACAGGGACUUCCUUUUUCAAACUUUUCGAGUUUCAUCCGUGGACAUGGAAAGUUCAGCUGUGGUAAUGGUAAGCAUUUCGUAUACGUGUAUGAUUCAUUUUACAAAAAAAAAAAAACUCAUUUUCACCUACAAAAGUAGCAAAUAAGCUGUGGUGGUUUUGGCAGACAAGCUUGUCAAAUGGCUUCCCGGUGAUCGUCAUUCGAGGGCUAUCCGAUCUUGCAGGAGGACAAUCAGGACAUAACUCAAUUGACACCUUUGGGUCUCUUGCAGCUAUAAACGCUUGCAAAGUAGUUGUACAAUUUAUCAAGCAACUGCAUCAUGAUACUAGGUAACCUGGCUUCCCAAGAUGUAUACACCCCUAAAUCUGAAGGAAAAAGAAAAUUGCAUGAGGUGAGAUGUAAGUACUUAUAAGGAGAAAGAACCAUCUUUUGUUAUUGUAAAUGCUUAUAGCAUAAUACAAAAAUAAUGGAUACAUCAAUCCUCUGUUUAUUUUGUUUGGUAAUAAAGAACCUUUGUCAAAGUGGUAAGAAUGCGUUUGCUACUGUAAACCAUACAAAGCACGUAUGCCAUCAAUGUCAUCCCUAUGUAGAUCCCGUUUUAUAAUCCCAUGAUCGAAGUAGGGAUACAUGAUUGCGUCCGGGAGGUCAGGAUUGUGAUUAAGCCCCAGCAGAUGGCCUAUUUCGUGCACGGUGACAGAUUCCAAGUCUACCUCAUUCGGUCCUGGAUUGCUACUCCAUCUCUCAUCUGCAUCAUAAUGGAAAUUCCCACCUCUAGGCGGGUUAGCGUGCGCCAAUGUCCCUCUGGGGCCAUCGAAUGCGUUACCAGGUCCAUCUCCAUGGUUGCCCCUGUGAAAUCCAAUGGUAAUAUCAGCUGCUGAAGUAGCAGGGACUUCCUCAAAUGUAAAACUGGUCACUUGUGCCCAUCUCUGAAAUGCUUGUGCACAUAUAGACCUUACAUUCUGUGUGCCAGGGACUUGGUUCACACUUGAACUAAAGCGAUACGUCAGAUGGGUUUUGGACCAUCUUCGCGGUCCGGGGAAGAACUCAUAAUGAGCAACCCCAUGGAUAGACUUGUGCUUAUGGUUGUGUUUCUUGCUGCCCUUUCGAGUGCCAUUGACAACAUCCGGCACACCACAUCUUGGCAUCAUCAUCUGUUUCCCCGUGGUGGUGUCUAGAGUUCCAGUGACUUUUAAGUGAUAGCUUUUCUGGUAUGACUUGAUGGCAGACUCUAGAAUGUCAUCAAACUCCUCGUCGUUGGCAUGCUUUGAAUGAUCAUAAUUCAGGUAGCCAAAUUUGGUGAGGUAUUUUUUGAGCUCUUGCAGCCCGCUCACAUUUUGACCCUUGUGGCAUCCCUCCAGGUGUUGGAUGAACUUGAAGGGGUCAUGCUGGUCAUGAGUAGAUUUGGAAUGAGUGUUUUGAGAGAGCAACACAAAGAUGAGGAAAAAGGCUACACAAACUGAGAUGGUUUUUGAGGCCAUUGCAGGCAUUUGGUAGCUAGCUAGAGAGAUGAAAGAAGGCUUUGUUGUGUUGGUCCUGGCUCCCUUGCCUCUAUUUAUAGAUGAAGAUUGCAGCAUAUCAACAAGUGUGUACCUUGUUGGUAGGGGCAGGGUUUUAGUUUCCGUAUAGGACUUGGUCAUUAAUGGAGUCAAUGGAAAAAUAUAUAAAUACGAUGGCGGUCUUUUUGCCAUUGUUGUAGGCUAUGAUUGAUUUGCUUAUAAGCCAGGAAAUCUAUUUCCUGGAAAUUUAUUGAGACUGUUUUGGCCUAAUGUAGGCAUCCUUCGUGUUUGACACUCUUGCCACAAUGUAAUUGCCUUCGUCGACUGGGCAAGGACAAAGUCGAAGUCCCUUGGCCUCACGGGGAAGAACCCGAAUCUCAACAUUAGUAGACACAAUUGUCUCUGGCUGGUGGGUACUGUGGAAGUUAUAUAAUGGUUCGCUUUUGCGUAUUUGUGAGAAGUGUAAAAUUAUGCAGAGCCAAAUUCAGCCUGAAGUGACAUUGACCCCUUUUUACACCCGUUAUAUAACAUAUUCAACAUCUUCAACCGAUGUGUCAAAUGUACUACAUAGACCUUUAACGGCUAGAAAUAACAUCUCGCAUCACUUCAACCGAUGUGUCAAAGCUGAUGUGGAAUAAAGGCUGGAGGUUGAGAUGUUAUUUUUGAAAUCCCAAAAGCAAGAUGUCAUACUCAAAUAAAUAUAUAUAUAUUUUUUAUUUUUAAUUUAAAAUAAAUCAACACUAAAAUGUAAUAAAAUAAUAAUUUAAUUAGACAUAUCGGGUGGAGUGUAAAGCUGUGUAAGAUGUCAAAUUGCCACAUUAGCCAUCAAAUUUAAAUUUGAUGUUUGGUAUUUGACAUCUCCCUUGGAGAUGCUCUUACAAGGAAAAAAAAAAUACUACAUAAAAAAUUUCACAACUAAGCUAAUGUUGAACUCCGUUUAACAUGAUAAAGCCAUUUGCAACUAAGUUAGGUAAUAAAAAAUUGUCUCUGAGAGACACUAGAAGCAUAAGCGCUUUAACCAAUCAUAUAUAUAUAUAUAGCCGUGACCUAUUGACAAACUUGACUUUAUGGUGGUGGGUUUUGUUACCAAUCAGAAGGAUUAAUUCUUCAAUAACUGGUAUACCACAUCUAAAAUUACAGAACAAAUCCAAAUUUUGAAUUCUCUCCCUCUCUUGUGAAGGUAUGAUCACAAAUAUUUCAACCAAAACAGACUGAUCACAAAGCUCAAGCAAUAUUGUUGAAAUGUGCCUACUUGCACUGUGAUCAAGCAUGCAUCAAAUGCCUGAAGCAUACGCAAAUUAUAAUAAUUUUGAUAUUCACAGAGUGUAUCUAUCAAAACAUAUUCAAAGUCACCCUCAUUAGCUAGUAAAAAGAGAACAAUUUUGGGCUUGGAUCUUUUGCUCCAGCCAAAAGGCAACUACUCAUAUACAUACACACACUAGUUGUAUUAUAUCAAUUUAUUAAAUAAACUAAUGUGGUGGGUCUAACUAAUAAAAAGAUGGUUACUUAUUAAAUCUUAUAAUUACAACACAAAUGUGGGUUAAGACUUGUACAAAAAAUAAAUAAUGUGAGUUAGAUUACUUAGUCAAGGUAGUGUUAACAUCCCAUUGUCAUCCCUAUGCAGAUUCCGUUUUAUACUCCCAUAAUUGAAGUAGGGAUACAUGAUUGCGUCCGGGAGGUCAGGAUUGUGAUUAAGCCCCAGCAGAUGGCCUAUUUCGUGCACGGCGACAGAUUCCAAGUCUACCUCAUUUGGUCCUGGAUUGCUACUCCAUCUCUCAUCUGCAUCAUAAUGGAAAUUCCCACCUCUAGGCGGAUUAGCGUGCGCGAAAGUCCCUCUGGGGCCAUCGAAUGCGGAACCAUCUCCAUGGUUGCCCCUGUGAAAUCCAAUGGUAAUAUCAGCUGCUGAAGUAGCAGGGACUUCCUCAAAUGUAAAACUGGUCACUUGUGCCCAUCUCUGAAAUGCUUGUGCACAUAUAGACCUUACAUUCUGUGUGCCAGGGACUUGGUUCACACUUGAACUAAAGCGAUACGUCAGAUGGGUUUUGGACCAUCUUCGCGGUCCGGGGAAGAACUCAUAAUGAGCAACCCCAUGGAUAGACUUGUGCUUAUGGUUGUGUUUCUUGCUGCCCUUUCGAGUGCCAUUGACAACAUCCGGCACACCACAUCUUGGCAUCAUCAUCUGUUUCCCCGUGGUGGUGUCUAGAGUUCCAGUGACUUUUAAGUGAUAGCUUUUCUGGUAUGACUUGAUGGCAGACUCUAGAAUGUCAUCAAACUCCUCGUCGUUGGCAUGCUUUGAAUGAUCAUAAUUCAGGUAGCCAAAUUUGGUGAGGUAUUUUUUGAGCUCUUGCAGCCCGCUCACAUUUUGACCCUUGUGGCAUCCCUCCAAGUGUUGGAUGAACUUGAAGGGGUCAUGCUGGUCAUGAGUAGAUUUGGAAUGAGUGUUUUGAGAGAGCAACACAAAGAUGAGGAAAAAGGCUACACAAACUGAGAUGGUUUUUGAGGCCAUUGCAGGCAUUUGGUAGCUAGCUAGAGAGAUGAAAGAAGGCUUUGUUGUGUUGGUCCUGGCUCCCUUGCCUCUAUUUAUAGAUGAAGAUUGCAGCAUAUCAACAAGUGUGUACCUUGUUGGAAGGGCAGGGUUUAGUUGCCAUAUACUUGUUAUAGGACUUGGUCAUUAAUGGAGUCAAAGGAGAAAUAUAUAAAUACAAUGGCGGUCUUUUUGCUCUUGUUGUAGGCCAUGAUUGAUUUGCUUGAUAGCCGGGAAAUCUAUUUCCUGGAAAUUUAUUGAGACUGUUUUGACUCAAUGUAGGCAUCCUUCGUGUUUGACACUCUUGCCACAAGUGUAAUUGCCUUCAUCGACGGGGCAAAGUCGAAGUCGAAGUCCCUUGGCCUCACGGGGAAGAACCUGAAUCUCAACAUUAGUAGAAAAAAUUAUCUGGCUGGUGGCUACUGUGGAAGUUAUAUAAUGGUUCACUUUUGCGUAUUUAUGAGAAGUGUAAAACUACACGGAGCCAAAUUCAGGCCUGAAGUGACCUUGACCCCCCUUUGCACCCGUUAUAUAACAUAUUUUAAUACAUGCAAAAAAAAAUGAUACUAUAUUAAAAAUUUCACAACUAAGCUAAUGUUGAACUCCUUUUGACAUGAUAAAGCCAUUUGCAACUAAGUUUUAAGUUUUGAAUAUGUAAUAAAAAAUUGUCUCUGAGAGACUAGAAGCAUAAGCACUUUAUAAAACCAAUCCAAUCAUAUAUAUAUGUAGCAGUGACCUAUUGACAAACUUGAAUUUAUGGUGGUGGGUUUGGUUGCCAAUCAAAAGGAUUAAUUCUUCAAUAACUGGUAUACCACAUCUAAAAUUACAGCGCAAAUCCAAAUUUUGAAUUCUCUCCCUCUCUUGUGAAGGUAUGAUCACAAAUAUUUCAACCAAAACAGACUGAUCACAAAGCUCAAGCAAUAUUGUUGAAAUGUGCCUACUUGCACUGUGAUCAAGCAUGCAUCAAAUGCCUCAAGCAUACGCAAAUUAUAAUAAUUUUGAUAUUCACAGAGUGUAUCUAUCAAAACAUAUUCAAAGUCACCCUCAUUAGCUAGUAAAAAGAGAACAAUUUUGGGCUUGGAUCUUUUGCUCCAGCCAAAAGGCAAGUACUCAUAUACAUACACACACUAGUUGUAUUAUAUCAAUUCAUUAAACUAAUGUGGUGAGUCUAACUAAUAAAAAGAUGGUUACUUAUUAAAUCUUAUAAUUACAACACAAAUGUGGGUUAGACUUCGACAAAAAAAAGAAAAGUGAGUUACAUUAGUUGGCCAAGGUAGCGUUAACAACCCAUUGUACUUGGAUUAGUAACUCUCCCUUCAACCAAACAACUAUCAACUACGAAAUUUGAAGAACUAAAAAGUAAUUCACAAUCAUAUUAGAAAUAAGUUUAAAUGGAGUUUAAAUACACCAACAAAGUAUAUAAAAUAUCAAAAAACAUAACCAUUCAUCGCUAUUAUUACUAGCCUCUCCGCAUAUGCUUCCGCGCCUGCGAGAGGCUUUUUAAAAAAAAUUUAAAUUUAUUUUAGAAUUAAAAAAGAUAAUGCGUAGUUUUGUUCCAUAAAAUUAAGAUCCAUUAUCUGAAUUUAAUUUUAAUUUUAAUUUUUUUAAUAUAAAAAAGUGUGAAUUUACCAUAUUAUCCUUAUUUAAUUGGAUUUGUCAACAAGUGAAAGUGGAGCGACAGAAACCAUCAGGACUUAUGCAACCACUUCCGAUUUCUGAAUGGAAGUGGGAACAUAUUACCAUGGAUUUUGUUUUCAAGCUUCCACGUACUUCUAAGGGACAUGAUGGAAUUUGGGUGAUAGUUGAUCGACUUACCAAAUCCGCCUAUUUCCUACCUAUCAAGGAGACCUAUUCUUUGUCAAAGUUGGCGAAACUUUUUGUGGAUGAGAUUGUGAGGUUGCAUGGAGCACCUGUGUCCAUUAUGUCGGACAGGGAUGCUAGGUUUACUUCUCAAUUCUAGAGGUGUUUACAGGAAGCUAUGGGUACUAAGUUGCAGUUCAGUACAGCUUUUCACCCACAGACUGAUGGGCAAUCAGAAAGGACUAUCCAGACUCUGGAGGAUAUGUUGAGGUCCUGUGUGUUGCAGCUUAAGGAUGCGUGGGAUAGUCACCUUGCUUUGAUAGAAUUUGCUUAUAAUAACAGUUAUCAUUCAAGUAUUGAAACGGCUCCAUAUGAGGCGUUGUAUGGGAGGCAAUGUAGAACUCCUAUUCGUUGGAAUGAAGUGGGUGACCAGAAAUUGGAAAAAGUGGAUAAUAUCCGAGCAACAACCGAGAAGGUGAAGAUGAUCAGAGAGAAAUUGAAGACUGCCCAAGACAGACAAAAGAGUUAUGCAGAUAAUAGGUCCAAGGAUCUUGAGUUUGCAGUAGGGGAUUGGGUAUUCUUGAAGUUAUCUUCGUGGAAGGGUGUGAUGAGGUUUGGUAAACGUGGGAAGUUAAGCCCUCGUUAUAUCGGACCUUAUGAGAUUACCAAACGUAUUGGACUUGUUGCCUACAGACUUGCACUACCACCAGAACUAUCUCAGAUCCAUGACGUGUUUCAUGUAUCCAUGCUACGGAAGUACAUGCUAGAUCCUUCCCAUGUUCUAGAGCGUCAACCUGUUGAGUUGAGAGAAGAUUUGACUUAUGAGGAGCAACCUGUGUAGAUCUUGUAUAGGAAAGAACAAAUGUCGUGCUCCAGAUCCAUUCAUGUAGUGAAGGUUUUGUGGAGAAGUCGAACUGUUGAAGAAGCUACAUAGGAGCCCGAGGCGUAGAUGCAGGCUAAGUAACCUUAUGUCUUCCAUUAACAGGUACGUGAAUUUCGGGGAUAAAAUUUUUAUAAGGGGGGUAGAUUGUAACACCAUGACUCCAAAUUUAAUUCCAUAUUUAAAUUAUUUAAUUGAAAUUAUGAAUUUACCCUUGGGGUAGGGGUAUUUUGGUUAUUUUCUUAUCCGGAAGGAUUUUGGGACAAUGAGUGGUAUGAUUAUGUAGGUUGUACUAAGACGAGUCCGUAGACACGUGGUAGGCUUGAAUCUGAAUUGUAACGAAGAAACGGCGACCAAAAUUAGUCCAAUGACAAUCGUAAAUAAUUCUAACUUGGGAUUAGAAAAAUCAGAAACCUCAUUUCUCUCUCCUCACGCGCACAUAGUUCUCUCUCUCCUCUCUCUUUCCCCGAAAUUGUGACUCACUCACUCACUCUCUCUCUCUCUCUCUCUCUCUCUCUCUCUUUCUCUCUCCGAUUCUCGCAGCACCGGCCACGGCAGGACGUGAAGCCGGUCACGUUCGAACUAGCUCGACGUCCUGGUCACGCUGCACCCGAAAUCCCGGGUCGAAAACCUCGAAUUCCGACUACGGUUUCGACUGGUUCAAUAAGAAAUUUUCCCGUCGUUGCACCGCAGCCAUUGCCGCCCAAUCUUGGUGAAACAGGUGAGGUUUCUUACUCUUUUUCUGAGCCCUAGUUGUCUGUUGCAUAGGAUUGGAUCGAUUUGUCUUCUAGAAUUUCGAUUUUGAAACCUAGGUUUUGGCCAAAUUUCAAAGUGAAAUUCUGGUCAGUUGCCGUCCAAAUUGGACCUCCCCCGUAGUUGAAUGAAAUGAUCCCCGCCUCGAGUAGUAGCUAGGGUAGGAAGGGUGAAGCGUGAUGUGGAGUUUUUCCAUCGCCGAAAAUUACUCUACACACCCACGCGCUGUCGGUGCAUGGGCAAGGGUGGUGAAACCAAAUUUUGUCCUGAUGUAAUCUUCAUGUUGUCACGAGCGCGUAGGUGUGCUCGGAUUUCAAUUCGGAUAUUGUUUGGCUAUCGAACGAAUUUAUGCAUAUUGUGCAUUAUCCGGGAUCGAUAUGUUUGGACUGUUGGAUCGAGUCCAAAUUAAUAUAUGUUACUCUAUACAUUUUUUGGAUCGUGUAGGAAUUCGUGGAGCGUAAAUUGGAGCCCCGGAUGUUCCGAUUCAAUAACUUGAAGUUUAUGGUUUACGAUAGGCCUCCUUUCCUGAUCAAACUUUCAAGAAGUAUUUCCUAACACGUAGAUGGACCUUAGAAUACCUCGUUCAACGUACACGCACCGGGAACAUGGGGAAAUAAGUAUUUAAUUUGUGAAUUCCGUUUCGAAGUAAUUUUAUAUUAAUUAAGAGUUCGUAUCUCGAAAUAGGUGCUCCGACCCCUCGUAGCAGCAGGCGGGACCCUUUCAGGGUCAGGCAGCGUGAGACUAGUUGUGAGUGGACAUUUAUUUUAAAUAUGCAUUAUUUUCUAUGAUUGGGAAGUUAUGGAUGAAAUGAAUUUAUUUAUACACAUAUAGAUAUUUUGGAUUAAAGUUUGAGAAAUUAAUAAGUUGAGAUAUUAGUAAUAUUAAAUUGAGAAUGAGAUUUUGAUUGGAAAUUUGAGGUUGAAUUUUGGGAAAUUGGGAUUUGAGUAUUAUGGUUUAAUAUGGAGAGAUGUAUAAAUACACCACCCCCUAGUUACUAGGCUUUCCACACGUGGUGUUGGAAUUUUUGGAGUGUGGGAAGAACAUGUGAUUAUUAGUCUCACACGUGGUGUUGGAAUUUCCAGCGUAUGAUACACUUUCCAUACGUGGCGUUGGAAUUUUCGGCGUGUGAUGAUGUAGUCUGUGCGAGUAGGACUUUGUAUUGGAGCUAGACGUGACAUUGGAGUUUCCGGCGUGUGAGCUAUGGAGUUUCGUCCUCCGGUUGGACCGCUCAUCCCUAGACGCAGGAUAGCAACAGGAAAUCUUGCGGGCUAGCCAAACAAUCCCCCAGUUGGAUUGUUUCUUCGGUACCUAAGUAGUGUGAUAAAUAUUACGUAUAUUUAUAGAUAUAUAUAUUUAUAUAUACAUAUAUAUAUAUAUAUAUAUGUGAGUAUAAAUCAAUUAAAGUAUAUGUAGCGGUUUGGUAAGAGCAGUAUAAAUUUUGGGGAUAAAGUUUAUGGAUAGAGUGUUUUGAUUUUAAAGGGUUUCAGAGAGUGAUGUUUUUUAUCAUGAAAUAAAAGUUAGUGAAUCUGCAUGUUUUGAUCAUUAUUUUUACACGGUGGUGUUAUUAUGCCCGAAUCGUGAACAUCAGUAGAUUAGGUUUCGAGUAAUUUCUUUCUACUCAACUGGUUGUUCUUGUAAACUAAAUUCGAUAAAUGCUCUGUUAUUGCCCAUGUUAGGUUUUACUUGUGAAGCCAGAGGCCAUAUAGUUUAUACUGUUGAAUGCAUGCUGCUGGUUGGGACUAUUUUGUGUUUAAUAUGCAGGUUGAAAUUUUUGGGAUUGUUCAAUUUACAAGAGAGACUCUGCCAAAAUUUUGGUAGAAAGUCUCGGUUUUUAGUAAGUGGGCCUGACAUCAGGGUGAUGUCGGAAUUAAGACGAAAUUUGUCCCGGUUUCCGAGGAAUUCUGGAGCAGGUCCUGUCAUAUCUGUUUUUUGCUUUAUAUAUAUAGAUUAUAAUAUGCGUGAAGAGCCUUAUAAAUGAUUUUUUUUUUAAUUUUUUUUUUUUUUAAAAGGGUGCAAACUGUAGAGAGGUUAGGGGGGUAAGUCUGCUAGUACAUGGGAUCUGACUUUCUUUUGGUCAAACUUCGCAGCCCACCAAAAAUAUUGAGCUCAAUCACAAAUUCAUAUAUGCACCUCUCCGUCUCUGUGUCGCAUUGAGCAGAAUUUUAAAGAGGAAAAGAAGAAAGACACUUUCUUUUUCUCUGUAAAGGAAAAAAAAAAUGGCGCUCUCGCGGCUUCGACACCCAGUGAUCUCUCGCGCGCCCUCUCUCUUGAGAGCUCGCCUUCUCUCCUCAGCCACCAGAUCACUCACUCGGUACACUCUCUCUCGUCCUCUGUCAAUCACUUCCGAUACAUAUGUUCAUUUCAUGAAUUGUAUGGGAUGCUUUUAAAGUAAAGUAUUGAUUUUUCUGAAUGGGUUGGUGGAAUGUUGUUGAUGGUUUUGGUAUUUGAUUGAAUUUAGAUUGGAAUGAUGAGCAUUAUGAGAUUUGGGGAUUGGCGGGUAAGUGUUAAGAGUGUCUUUAAUACUGGCAUACUUAUCAGUUUGAGUAGAGGCAAUUUGUAAUUGCAAUGUAGGGACUAUGUGUUUUUCACUAAUUGAUGAGAAUGUGCGUUCUCUGUUUAUGAAAUAGAAAUGGGUUUUAGUGAUUUUGCUAAUUGGAGAGGGUGUUAAUUGUUAAACCAAAGGAUUCUGUUUCACGAAGUUGCUGAUUGAAUUUGAAUCUAGUUUUUCAGCAUUCAAGGAAACUCUUUCAAUAUGUUAGUUCGGUUUAUCUGAAAUGCAGUGUGGUGUUGCAGGGCGGUGAUUCCUGGUGGGAAAGAUGUGGGGUUGGGAUGGUGAGCCAUGCUACUUCCCUUAAUGGACCAAAAGUCAGCUUCUGUCAGUUUUGUCAUUUAGAAGGUUUUAAUGCAUACAAGUUACUAACCCGUUAUAUUAUAUCACACAAUUCAUAAAAUAUGAAGAGACAUAAAAUUGGUAAUUUUUAUCCACUAUAUUUGAGCCUUCAGGAUUUUCAUUCCUUGAAACCACUUCUCAAUCAGAAGAAUGCUGCUGCAGCAACACAGCAAAUGCUGGAUCUAUUUGACAUUCUGGGAAUUGCCAAUUUUGGCAUUGCUGGAAAUGCCAACAAUUCCUUGUCUAUUGGUGAUGUGACCUUUCCUCAACACUUUUCUCACACUGGCAUUUGGGAUUGGCUGGUAAAGUAUAUUCUGAAUCUCUUUUCAUCUUUUUAUGUGCUUGUACCAUUUUAGAGUCCAAUGAAUUGCAUCAGAGUUCUUAUUGACGGAACCCAAAUCGAUCUUUGAAUUACGAUGAAGCAAGCUUGGACUUUAAAAGAUACAAUGUACCAAGAGGAGAUAACCUGUUGGGAUGCAUUGGACUUAGUUAUGAACAAUUUUUUUCUGAGCAC
RNAcentral lists this long non-coding RNA (11453 nucleotides) under Prunus persica (peach). Its description in RNAcentral is "long non-coding RNA (PPER_LNC002775)". Lineage: Eukaryota; Viridiplantae; Streptophyta; Magnoliopsida; Rosales; Rosaceae. The record is from RNAcentral.